UACGGGGGGGGCAAGCGUUGUUCGGAAUUACUGGGCGUAAAGGGUCUGUAGGUGGCCAACUAAGUCAGACGUGAAAUCCCUCAGCUUAACUGGGGAACUGCGUCUGAUACUGGAUGGCUUGAGUGUGGGAGAGGAAUGCGGAAUUCCAGGUGUAGCGGUGAAAUGCGCAGAUAUCAGGAGGAACACCGGUGGCGAAGGCGGAUCUCUGGGCCGAUACUGACGCUGAGGAGCGAAAGCGUGGGGAGCGAACAGG
Molecule: ribosomal RNA, 253 nt
Filed under: uncultured bacterium
Lineage: Bacteria
Description: partial 16S ribosomal RNA
Rfam family: Bacterial small subunit ribosomal RNA
Source: RNAcentral